This 826-nucleotide ribosomal RNA is filed under the name Alteromonadales bacterium HOT2B7. RNAcentral describes it as "bacterial SSU rRNA". It matches the Rfam family "Bacterial small subunit ribosomal RNA", at positions 93 to 920 of the family's 1533-position model. The record is from RNAcentral. Lineage: Bacteria; Pseudomonadati; Pseudomonadota; Gammaproteobacteria; Alteromonadales.
GAGUGGCGGACGGGUGAGUAAUGCUUGGGAACUUGCCUUUGCGAGGGGGAUAACAGUUGGAAACGACUGCUAAUACCGCAUAAUGUCUUCGGACCAAACGGGGCUUCGGCUCCGGCGCAAAGAGAGGCCCAAGUGAGAUUAGCUAGUUGGUAAGGUAACGGCUUACCAAGGCGACGAUCUCUAGCUGUUCUGAGAGGAAGAUCAGCCACACUGGGACUGAGACACGGCCCAGACUCCUACGGGAGGCAGCAGUGGGGAAUAUUGCACAAUGGGGGAAACCCUGAUGCAGCCAUGCCGCGUGUGUGAAGAAGGCCUUCGGGUUGUAAAGCACUUUCAGUUGUGAGGAAAAGUUAGUAGUUAAUACCUGCUAGCCGUGACGUUAACAACAGAAGAAGCACCGGCUAACUCCGUGCCAGCAGCCGCGGUAAUACGGAGGGUGCGAGCGUUAAUCGGAAUUACUGGGCGUAAAGCGCACGCAGGCGGUUUGUUAAGCUAGAUGUGAAAGCCCCGGGCUCAACCUGGGAUGGUCAUUUAGAACUGGCAGACUAGAGUCUUGGAGAGGGGAGUGGAAUUCCAGGUGUAGCGGUGAAAUGCGUAGAUAUCUGGAGGAACAUCAGUGGCGAAGGCGACUCCCUGGCCAAAGACUGACGCUCAUGUGCGAAAGUGUGGGUAGCGAACAGGAUUAGAUACCCUGGUAGUCCACACCGUAAACGCUGUCUACUAGCUGUGUGUGCCUUUAAGGCGUGCGUAGCGAAGCUAACGCGCUAAGUAGACCGCCUGGGGGAGUACGGCCGCAAGGUUAAAACUCAAAUGAAUUGACGGGGGG